GCUGUAGGUUUCGACCAAUCGAUAAACAGGGCGUGUCAAUUUCAGUCCUGACAGCUUCAGCCGCUGUGGAUUUCGACCAAUCGAUGAACUGGGCGUGUAGAUAGUAAACGAAGAAAGAGAAAAUGAGAACUCCAUCCUUUUUGUCCAGAAUUUUUUGCUGAAUGAUUUUCCAUCAAAGAUCGAAGUAGUUUUUUCAUGGCCGUGUGAUUGCGCGUUUCUGAUUCCACUCAAAGACAGACAUUUCCACUUACACUGAAUUAUAUUUAAUUCAACGCCUAAAUACCUGAACCAAUGAAUUAGUUUUGUUCACGUAUUGCUGGUUUUUUGCUUGACAAAAAAUUAAAAGAUGCGACACACUG
Molecule: long non-coding RNA, 359 nt
Organism: Magallana angulata
Lineage: Eukaryota; Metazoa; Mollusca; Bivalvia; Ostreida; Ostreidae
Exons: 2
Source: RefSeq, a predicted model, not a curated record